Molecule: transfer RNA, 87 nt
Filed under: Rickettsiales bacterium
Lineage: Bacteria; Pseudomonadati; Pseudomonadota; Alphaproteobacteria; Rickettsiales
Description: tRNA-Leu
Rfam family: tRNA
About the family: Transfer RNA (tRNA) molecules are approximately 80 nucleotides in length. Their secondary structure includes four short double-helical elements and three loops (D, anti-codon, and T loops).
Source: RNAcentral
GCGGUUGUGGCGGAAUUGGUAGACGCGCAACGUUGAGGUCGUUGUCCUGUAAAAGGGGUGGAGGUUCAACUCCUCUCAGCCGCACCA